GUUUGUUUGGUUUGUUGCGUUUGACAAUAAAGUUUCUUUUUCUACCCACUUCACCUUUUUUUUUCUGCUUUCCCCCCCUGCCCCUUCUCCUUUCUUCCUCUCUUUUUUCCCCCUCGUCUCCUUGCUGCAGGUUUUGCUCAGGAGUUGGCCACUCAGGAAUUCCUAGUGCCUGACUGAGCAGUAAUUUAGCAAGCUCUCUUGUGCUCUUUUCCUGUCAGCAUUAACAUGUCAAUUCAUUUUAAUAGUCUGGGCAUGCGCAGAGGGGAUGCAUUUUCUCAGUAGGUAUCCCAUGAGCCCACCCUGUGGUGCAGAAAUGUGUUAUAGCUUGUCUCAGGCCACAGAGACUUCAGCAGGUUUAUUUUCAUUAUGGCCAAGUGUAUUUGUAAAGACAAAGCAUGAACAAGGAAAAAGAGUAUAUACAACAAGACUUUAAAAUAUUAAAUGGGAUCUACGUGUCUGAUUGGUAAUUUAUCACCUAUGCACAGAAUAGGUUUUAAAACCCCUUUUUUGUUUGUUUGUUUGUUUUGCUUGAUAUUAUUACGUGGCAGUGCUGCCACUUCCUCUGUUUUUUUGGAAAUUAAAUGAUAUCAUGCCACAGUGGGAGUUAUCUAUAAUCAUGAUUUAUAGUUGAAUUGGUUCUUAUAUUAAACCAGAAUUUCCUUGCCAUCCUUCGUGUUAAAGAACCUUCAGAUGGAUUUGUAUCCAGUUUUUGGCCUCAAGUACCUAAAAGCAAGGACUGCCCAGUCCAUGGGCCAAUCCUUUGGUUACAGUACAACACUUCUACCUAAAAAUACUUGAAUCUUUAUAGGCUUUAAAAGCUAUGGGUAGAAAUUGUAGAUUUGUAAGAGGAUAAAACGACAGCAACAACAAAUAAUAGAAAGCAUGACACCUUAUGUCAUCUUAAAUGACAUUAUAUGACAUUUUUGCAGGUGCAGCCUAAAUUCAGCCAAGGUAUUUUGGUUGUUCACUACCUUCGCGUAAUUAAAUAUUGAAGCACGCUGAGCUGUGGUAUCAACAUCUGUAUGGUACAAAUACCUUUUCAGCCCAGCUGGACUCAGCUGCAUUAUCUGUGACCUGAAAAGGUAAGGCAGCUAUUUGUUUCUAAAGGAUCCUCUUUAUUUAAGGAAAAUGUGCUCUCAUGGUAGGUUCUGCUCUCCAGGGGUCCAUGAAAGCUGCAAUGUCCUUAAAUUGUGUGGGAAUGUGCCUGUGCUGGGACACAGUUACAGCUGAGUAGGUGGAGAAUUAUGUCAGGAAUCUGAAGUUUGGCAUGGGGAUUCCCUCUCAUUUGGACAUAAAAGGAAUGAUCUUAUUUCCUCCAAAAAGAAAGCUGUAAAGUACCUUGUCAAGAAACAGCAAAGGCUCCACUCAAUGGUGGUCAGUCAGUGCAUUUCCCAAAAGUGGCUGGCACAAAAUUGUAUGUCACAGCACUAUAGAAAAGCCAUGCAGGAACUAAUAGUACAGGACGCUUAAAAUUGGCCUCUUGUGAGCUGGUUGAAUGGCAAAAAAUACAGAGUUCAGAUAAAGAAAAUUCCAAGACUUACGACAACUACCACAAGGUAAAAUUAUAUCAGUAAGGAAAUGUGAAAAACUCUUUACUUGGUGAAAGCCUAUGGCAUCAUCAGUGGCAUCAUAGAAAUGCCCUAGGUUGUGAUGUAAAUGUGUGUCCAAACCACCUGCAGCCAGGGAACAUAGGCCCUAUGGCACUGUGGAGGGUCUCAAACACUCUGUGUUUGUGGCUGUUGGGUCUCCAAGAGGUCCAUCUCCAGGUGUAUUAAGGAAUUUGGAUAACAGCGAUACGUAGAUGGGGGCUGGUUGUUGUUGAUGCUUAGGGGUAAAAAUAUGGAGAGUUUAAAGCUUAUGUGUGACACCUGAGUCCCUGUCCCUGAGAGUCCCAUAACUGAAAAAAGAAGUGAUGUGGUCUUUUACCUUGUAGGAUAAAAUAUCAAUAGGUACAGAGAGAGUCAACAAGUCAGCAUAAGGUCUGUGCUGGCAUAUAUUUAGUGAAACAUUAAAACCAUCUGAGCACAUUUUCUUGUAUGUUUUCUAGGGCACAAUGUAUAUGAAGUGAGGUUGUCUAUGCGUGUAUGCAGUUAUGCCAUCCACAAAUUGAACUCAAUGGCCAAAUUCUGGCCAGGUUUGACUGAUGGUCAGAAGACACAAGUAUUUUCAGUAAAUAAUAAAUCAGGUAGAGAAGAGAAUUCUGAACUGACAUGCUUACAGAGCAGCAUUGUGAGCUUUUUCUUCUCAUCAUGUACCUGAGAGCCUACUUCUGGAAGCAGGAGGAAAGAGAGGGAAGAGAGUUGGUUUCUCUUGAGAAUUGCCCAACGGAAAUUAAAUUCAGGUUUCUGUUUGGCUUUUCUGAAGUCUAGUAAGUUAAGAAGCCAAACUUUGCUCUGUGUGGGAGUUUCCUACAAAUCGGAGUGCAGGGAAGGAUUCAUAGCCAGCUCUAGAUAAGAGUGAUAAGCAGAGGAUUAGGUUUGAGAGCUAAUUCCUGUGUGCUGUCUUUUCCCCAGAGAGACUAAGGGUUCAUGCAAGAGGUGCCUCCAUCUGUGCCAGACUUUGCAAACACACAUUUUCAUCCAACAAGUUUGGCUGCCAAGUUGCUCUACCUUAAGUCUCUUGCAAGUAGGUUCUGAACUGGAACUCAUGUUGGCUUCUGGCAAAAACAGGAAUGAAGAUGUAAGGCGUGUAAUGAUUUGGCUCCUGAGAGAAAAGGUGUGUGUGUGAGGAGAACAUUUUUCAGCCACACGACAAUUUCACCAUGUGGGAAAAAUGUCUGCUUAACUUUAAAGAGCAACUUGCAAAAUCUCACAGUGUGUGAGGAAGAUUGGUCAUAGCAAAAAAGCUACAGGGGAAGUGAACAGAGAAAGUCUGAGGCUUUAGGAGAAAAUGACAGGCAUAGCAAGGGAGCUGUUUAAAGGGAGGGGUGCAGGGGCAGAUAUGAACCUCUACAUUUCCCCACCUGCAAAAAGAGGCUGAAAGCUGCAGUGGAAUCUCACUGCCCAUGCAAGCAUCAUUUCCCAUGCACUGCAGAGCCAAGUGAGGAGAAAAGUAAUUGCCUUGGAUGGGAGGCACGAUAUGACAUGAAAUACAAGCACAUCUUUCGUAGAAUUUGUAAGCCAUAAAAGUAUUUUAAUAACAUCUGGUGCAGGGGCGUGUUGAAGCUUAAUUAAUUAAUCCUUGCAAAGGACUUGGAAAUUCUGGGAUCAAAGGUGUUGCAUUAGUGCAAAAUGCCAUUAUUAUACCUAUAAACGUGUGCUUGUUAACUUAAAUGCUAUUUAUUUAUUGCCGCUAUAUACUUGUAUGGCAGUAUAUAUCAAGUAUAUUACAAACAUUUUAAAAGUACACUUUUUCAUUGCAUAAAGCUGUCCCUGUUCAGGUGCUGCUGCUAAUGCCAAGCAGGAGCCCCUAAUUGACUCCAAGAAAGCCUCUGUCUCUGGGGUAUGUGUGUGUGGUGUAUCCCACUCUGUGAUAUUACUAUGGAUGCUGCACAAGAGGCAAAGAUUAUGCCCAUAGCUAUGACUGAAGGCUGAAAAAUGCACAUCAAGGUUUGUAGGGUAGGGUAGGUGGGUCUGCUCAGUGUGUGUUUGGACUGGAUGGAUGGAAUUGAGGUCUGCCAUCUGCCUGCAGUCUUAUUUUUGGUGCUUGUUUGUGUAUUCGUUGCUUUGUAGCCGGUUAUAAAUAAUAGAAAUCCUAAGCAGUGCUCUGUUCCCACUAAUUCAGAAUUUAGUGUCGCAGGUUGUUUACAAAUCAAAGGAGCAAAGCACAUGCAUCCUCAGCAGUCAGUUAGAAUGCAGCAUCUUUUUCUUUUCCUUGUAACGGAGCAUACAGUGAAAUUAUCCUUGCUCUAAGGCUUAUUUUAGCUUUUGUUCCAUGCUUGGCAUUGUGUCUUCCUGUAGUUAACUUGGGAUCUUCACCUGGCUUACAGAGGGAAAAGGAAGUUUAGAAGUGUAUUCUGCACCAUUAUUUAGGCUAAAUUUGUAAACCCUCUGCUUCUGACGACAGCGUCUUUGUAGAUCUUUUUAAAUAUGGAUGAAAUAUGAGUUUUUCUUUCAAGGUACAAAAUGUCAUUAAGGGCUCAGGUGGUUAAAAUCAACAUGAAAAAUACAUGCUGCAUUUUCCCUCCUUAAAUGCAAUAAUGUAAUCAGAUUUCAAGUCAUCUUACCUACCUCACUUACAGCUUUAUGGAGAUUAAUUAGUUUUUAGCCCCCAGUCACAUGAUCUUUUCUGACUGCCAUUUAGCUACAUUUGCUAUCUGACUUGAACCUGUAAGCUGUCUCCUGCCCCAGAGGACAGAUUAAAUUUUACUAUUGGUUGCCUCCUUCCUUUGAUUUAAAGGUAGAUAGUUAGAUUCUUAGUUCAAUUAUUCUUUGUUGUUAAUUAGCCGUGCACUGCUAUCAUUUCUUUGGAAAAAGAGGAGAAGAAAAAUGGCUCAAAAGUGGAAGACAACUUCUUUCCAGGGGCCGAGCUAAAUAGGGUUGUCCUGAUCAGGUGGAGAGCCAUAACAGAGCUUUUAAUCCACAUCUCUAUCACCUCCGGCUGCUUUGUGUUUGCUGGGCUUUUAUGGCUGCCGAUCAAUACGGUUACCUUUCAGUUCAGCAAAGCACAUGGGUCAGGCAGGAGGGGAGGGAGGAUUUCUGCAUCUCUAACUCACAGAGGUAUGAACUGGUGCAUGCCCAUCCACAUCUCUGGCACUCCGCCUUUGUUUUCCUAAUUUUCUCUUUAAAUUAACUUAAGCACUUACUCUAUAGCGUGAUUUUCUGUAAAGAAAAUGCUUUAUUCCUUGUUGAGAAUGAUUUCUAAGGCCAUUUAAUAUCUAAGUAAAUUCCAUUCUCUUCUCCUAAAUGUAUUAGGUGCAAUAAAUGUACAGUGGAUAAAGGAGUGUGUAGACAAAAUCCUGCCUUUAAGUCUGGGUAUCCUGUUUAUGUCAUUGCAAUACUCCUUUCUCAAGAAAGAAGAGCACAUUUUGGCCCAUACUGUGAAAAGACAAGAAGUAGAUAAGCUCCAGGGCAAAAAAAGGGAGAGGUGAUUUUUUUCCCCCUUUUCGGCUUGUGAUUAAAAACAAAGCAAAUUAUAAAGGGAUUUGACUAGUAUUGUUGUUCAGGAUGGUGCACUACUGGGCUCCUCAGGAGCAUAUAACAAAAGAUCAAAGGGUUCCUGUCUCCACACAACUAAAUCAGCUCUAGGACUAGGAGCACUGGUGGCCCCAUUUUUCCUUAGGUGAGAGCUGGGAGUGAGUUAAGCUAAUGAAAUUGUUAUCUAUUACACAUUAGAAAUGUAUCAGAGCCAAAGCCAUUGAGGCAUUUAUAUGGACGUUACAUGGGGAUGCCUGUUUGCCAUUUGUUUCCUAAAUUUUCUACGAUUUGCUCUGCAGCACACGCUCACCUUGGUUAAAUGGGGCUCGACUCAGCAAUAUUCAGCAGAGCUGCGGCGGUUCCUGGCUCCGGCCACCAAGGCUCCACAGGAUUUUCACUGCUCAGGUGUUGCAAAGCCUAAUCCUUAUUCAGGAACCAAAACGCUCCCCUCUCCUUGCCUGCGGUGCUUGGAUGCCUGCCUUUGGCAGUAGCCCCAGACUCCUGCAGAAGAUGAAGACAUCCCUCCAUGCCUAUAGAUGGAAAAGCGCCAACAUGGAUGCCAUCAGAAGGACGCAGCUGAGCAUAUGCUGAGAAAAUUGUGGCAUCCAUACUGUACAUGGGGAAGGGCUGACUGAACACACCAGUUUGUUGAAGCUUAUGGCCCUGAAAAGGAAACAUAGGUUUCCUGUAAAUGUCAUUCAGGGAUAUGCUAACUGUUAUUUCCUGGCACUGGAUCAUGAUGCUUUCAACACAUUCUGUUCCUCUACCUCUGCUGCUACCUCUGCUGCCUGCCUGCCUGGUUGUGCGCAGUGAUAGCUCUCCUGUCUUCUCACCUUUCCUCCUCCCCGCGCCAGGCAAAGGUAUUCUGGUUGGGAGGGCCAAUGUCAGCGAGCGAGAUGACAGACGGAGAGAUGAAAUCUCAGCCCUGCACUCAGCCUGGCUGCUGCCUGUACCUGGGCCUUGCUGCACCAUCCCUUGAACGCAAAGCAAUUCAAGGAAAAGAGUAACUUCUGUUACAUUAGAAAUCACGCAUUUCUGACCCAGAAAGAGAGGAAUUUCACAGUCUCUCAGGACAUGUGCUUGAAGGGAGGAUUUCUGGAGCCUAAACCAGAGGAGCCCAGGAGCUGCUGGUGUGAAGGCUCACCGCAAGCACCUGCUGCUUCUGGAGGAGUUCCUGUGGCAAUGCAUGUGCUCAGGAUGAAUAGGUACAGCUGUCCAGUUCUAGUAGAUAUUUUUCCCUCUGGUUUAUACAUAUUUGAAAAGCUACACAUGAAUAAACACAUAAAUUAAUGCUAGAUGUACUUCUUAUCCAUGCAAGUGUGAGCUGUAUGUAUAUAGAUACACAUACAAAUAUGGGCAUAGUUAUCAGCCUUGGUAUCCUACUUGUUAAGGUAAUUGUGUCAUUUAAAUUCUGUCAUACUUGGUUCAAGACAGAUUCAUUAACUGGUCCUAUUUAUUACUCCAGGAUCUGAGCACCUGUUUCUUAGAGGUAAAACCAGAAUAAAUCUCCUAAUUUCCCAGGUUCUUUUACAUUUUUGCUUCGAAAUAAUGAGACGCUUAUAUUCAAAGAAAAAAAAAAUGAAAUAUCUGAUGCUGAAAAAUACAAUCAAGUUAAUUUUUUAGGUAUACCGAGGUGAAAUUAUUGCAUUUGUUUGUCUGUGUAGAUAGUUUUCUUUGUGCUGGCGUAAGACCUGAUGCUGGCCAUAUUCUGUGAACACAGUUAUUAUCAUAUUUAGUAUCUUAAAUGUGUACGUACAUAAUUGCUUUAUAUGUGUUUGUGCUUCCAACAUAUCAGACUGGCUAAGAGAGAGCACCCAUAGCAGUAUCAAAUUGCUUAUUGCUCUCUCCACAGUCAACUAGAGCACAAGGAGGAGAGGAAGGAACAACAGAAGCUCUGACUAACAAUUUCUCUCUCUCUCCCUAUUUAUUUAGGAAUCCAAGUUAACAGAAGGAAGAAACAACUCUUUUGUAGUAAUGCUCUGUAGGGCAUUAUCACAGCUAAUCUUAUGGUGGUAUGUUUUAGUCCAAAAAUGUUACUGCUCAGGUCCAUGCUACACCAUUUGUCAGUUGUUUACACCCUACAUAUGGAUUAGCACUGUAUGCCAGCCAUGAAAACCUGUUCUGCUCUUAACCCACCUGCAUGAAGCGCUGAAGCAGCUCACUGCAUCUGAUAUUUAGCUUUACUUCCUUAAGAUGUUGGACCACAAGAAGCAGGCACAGGUACAGGUAACUUGGUAGUGUAAUAAACUCUCCCCAUG
This 7333-nucleotide long non-coding RNA is filed under the name Gallus gallus (chicken). The record is from RNAcentral. Lineage: Eukaryota; Metazoa; Chordata; Aves; Galliformes; Phasianidae.